CCCAGGGGGGUCUGGGGGUGAUUCCCGAUCCCUGAUGGGAUCCCGGGGAAGGUUUGGAGGCGAUUCCCGAUCCCUGAUGGGAUCCCAGGGGGGUCUGGGGGCGAUUCCCGAUCCCUGAUGGGAUCCCGGGGAAGGCUUUUUGGCGAUUCCCGCUUUUCCCGGGUACCGAGGCCACGAAGAGAUCCCCGAUCUUCUC
Molecule: long non-coding RNA, 196 nt
Organism: Corvus hawaiiensis (hawaiian crow)
Lineage: Eukaryota; Metazoa; Chordata; Aves; Passeriformes; Corvidae
Exons: 3
Source: RefSeq, a predicted model, not a curated record